GACGAACGCUGGCGGCGUGCCUAAUACAUGCAAGUUGAGCGCUGAAGGUUGGUACUUGUACCAACUGGAUGAGCAGCGAACGGGUGAGUAACGCGUGGGGAAUCUGCCUUUGAGCGGGGGACAACAUUUGGAAACGAAUGCUAAUACCGCAUAAAAACUUUAAACACAAGUUUUAAGUUUGAAAGAUGCAAUUGCAUCACUCAAAGAUGAUCCCGCGUUGUAUUAGCUAGUUGGUGAGGUAAAGGCUCACCAAGGCGAUGAUACAUAGCCGACCUGAGAGGGUGAUCGGCCACAUUGGGACGGAGACACGGCCCAAACGCCUACGGGAGGCAGCAGUAGGGAAUCUUCGGAAAUGGAGGAAAGGCUGACCGAGCAACGCCGCGUGAGUGAAGAAGGGUUUCGGAUCGUAAAACUCUGUUGGUAGAGAAGAACGUUGGUGAGAGUGGAAAGCUCAUCAAGUGACGGUAACUACCCAGAAAGGGACGGCUAACUACGUG
RNAcentral lists this ribosomal RNA (497 nucleotides) under uncultured bacterium. RNAcentral's name for it is "partial 16S ribosomal RNA". It matches the Rfam family "Bacterial small subunit ribosomal RNA", at positions 28 to 507 of the family's 1533-position model. The record is from RNAcentral.